Jatropha curcas is the source of this 370-nucleotide long non-coding RNA. RefSeq lists it as uncharacterized. Lineage: Eukaryota; Viridiplantae; Streptophyta; Magnoliopsida; Malpighiales; Euphorbiaceae. The record is from RefSeq and is a predicted model, not a curated record.
CUCUCUCUCUCUCUCUCUCUCUCUCUCUCUCUUCGUUGCGGCGAACACACAUUCCCUAGACGGCGAAGCUACUCCUCUCCUGUGACUCUCCUUCAUAGUCAAUCAAUUCAGCCGAAAAGAUGGACCUUAAGAAAGAAUGUUCGGAAAAAGACAGGGAAGUAGACACCCUGUUGGUUCAGAUAAGCUCUGCUUUCUUUCCCAUAGAGUUAUAUUAGUGAUUACCAGAUCUUGAUAAUAUUUGAAUAUACAGUACUAUGUAUAAAAAUGUAUCAAUAUCUACUUAUUGAGCUGCGCAAAUAGGAAGUCAUAUACUACAAUUUAUCAUGUAAAAGUUAUUAAUGUGUUAAUUAAUAAACCUGUGAAUUUUCUA